UACGUAGGUGGCGAGCGUUGUCCGGAUUUACUGGGCGUAAAGAGCGCGCAGGCGGUCGUUCAAGUCGCGUGUGAAAGCCCCCGGCUCAACUGGGGAGGGUCACGCGAUACUGAUCGACUCGAAGGCAGGAGAGGGUAGUGGAAUUCCCGGUGUAGUGGUGAAAUGCGUAGAUAUUCGCAAGAACACCAGUGGCGAAGGCGGCUAACUGGUCCGGUUCUGACGCUGAGGCGCGAAAGCGUGGGGAGCAAACAGG
RNAcentral lists this ribosomal RNA (253 nucleotides) under uncultured bacterium. Its description in RNAcentral is "partial 16S ribosomal RNA". It matches the Rfam family "Bacterial small subunit ribosomal RNA", at positions 524 to 776 of the family's 1533-position model. The record is from RNAcentral.